Molecule: ribosomal RNA, 253 nt
Filed under: uncultured bacterium
Lineage: Bacteria
Description: partial 16S ribosomal RNA
Rfam family: Bacterial small subunit ribosomal RNA
Source: RNAcentral
UACGUAGGUGGCAAGCGUUGUCCGGAUUUACUGGGCGUAAAGGGCGUGCAGGCGGUCUGUUAAGUGCAGGGUGAAAGCUCCCGGCUCAACUGGGAGAGGUCCUUGCAUACUGGCGGACUUGAGGGGGGUAGAGGAAAGUGGAAUUCCCGGUGUAGUGGUGAUAUGCGUAGAUAUCGGGAGGAACACCGGUGGCGAAGGCGGCGACCUGGUUCGAUACUGACACUGAGGUGCGAAAGCGUGGGGAGCAAACAGG